GCCCUAGUAGCUUAGCC
This 17-nucleotide transfer RNA is filed under the name Clarias batrachus (walking catfish). RNAcentral describes it as "partial tRNA-Thr". Lineage: Eukaryota; Metazoa; Chordata; Actinopteri; Siluriformes; Clariidae. The record is from RNAcentral.